AUUUUGACUGUGCGAAGGUAGCAUAAUAGAUUGUCUUUUAAAUGGAGGCUUGAAUGAAUGGUUGGACAAAGUAUCAUCUGUUUCUUAAAUAACUAUUGAAUUUGACUUUUAAGUGAAAAGGCUUAAAUAAAUUAAAAAGACGAUAAGACCCUAUAAAUUUUUAUAAAAAAUAUAAUUUUAGUUUGAAUUUAUAAGUUUAUAAAAUAUAAAUUAUAAUUUUAUUGUGCUGGGGUGGUGUAUGUAUAUUGUAAAACUGUUUAUAAAAUAAAAUCAAUAAUAUUUGAUUAAUAAAAUUGAUCCUUUAAUAGAUUAAAAGAUUAAAAUACUUUAGGGAUAACAGCGUUAUUUUUUCUAAGAGUUCUUAUUGAAGAAAAAGUUUGCGACCUCGAUGUUGAAUUAAAGUUUCUUUGUGGUGUAGCAGCUAUGUAAGAGAGUCUGUUCGACUUUUAAUACUUUACAUGA
This 462-nucleotide ribosomal RNA is filed under the name Pagurus prideaux. RNAcentral describes it as "partial 16S ribosomal RNA". The stretch from base 333 to 462 matches the Rfam family "Bacterial large subunit ribosomal RNA", at positions 2473 to 2603 of the family's 2925-position model. The record is from RNAcentral. Lineage: Eukaryota; Metazoa; Arthropoda; Malacostraca; Decapoda; Paguridae.